This 260-nucleotide ribosomal RNA is filed under the name Bacillus sp. SW04. Its description in RNAcentral is "partial 16S ribosomal RNA". It matches the Rfam family "Bacterial small subunit ribosomal RNA", at positions 41 to 288 of the family's 1533-position model. Lineage: Bacteria; Bacillati; Bacillota; Bacilli; Caryophanales; Bacillaceae. The record is from RNAcentral.
GCGGGCGCAUGCUAUACAUGCAAGUCGAGCGGACAGAUGGGAGCUUGCUCCCUGAAGUCAGCGGCGGACGGGUGAGUAACACGUGGGCAACCUGCCUGUAAGACUGGGAUAACUCCGGGAAACCGGGGCUAAUACCGGAUAAUUCUUUCCCUCACAUGAGGGAAAGCUGAAAGAUGGUUUCGGCUAUCACUUACAGAUGGGCCCGCGGCGCAUUAGCUAGUUGGUGAGGUAACGGCUCACCAAGGCAACGAUGCGUAGCC